Molecule: long non-coding RNA, 3949 nt
Organism: Cercocebus atys (sooty mangabey)
Lineage: Eukaryota; Metazoa; Chordata; Mammalia; Primates; Cercopithecidae
Exons: 2
Source: RefSeq, a predicted model, not a curated record
GCCUCCCAAAGUGGUGGGAUUUCAGGCAUGAGCCACUGUGCCCAACUCAGAACAUUUUAAAUGGGAAAACUGACCUACUAUUCCAAACAAAUGAGUUACAAUGACCCUCAAAUAAAAUUGGUUGAUAAACUGGAUGCUUCUACUAUCAUGUACGCCCUGCUUACAGCAUUUACCAUAGCAUACCUUAUACAGAAAUGUAAACAAACAGGAGUUAGAAUGAUAUCCCUCUAAUGUCAUAUUAUAAGAACUAGCAGUAUGUUAAGAUAUUAAAGAUAAAAGAUUUUUACCACGUAAAAUUAAGACUAUGGCUACUGAACACCUACCACAUUUAAGGUAUAAAUAAUAUCCUCAUGUACUUUGCAACCCUCAAACUAAAAGUACUGAAUCAACAAAAGAUGCACACUAUGCACUACUGAUUGCAUUUUUAAACAACAUGAUUUCCUGUAGAAAUUAACACUGCUAAUGGACUGAGAACUAAAGCACUACAGACAGUACUACACAAUUCAGAAAUCCUUUCUUUUCAGUAAGCUUGAACAAGUCCCAGCCAGGGCUUUUAAGUCAACUGAAGCCUCACGGGAUUCAAAUAGGGCUGUGCAGUCAUCAGCACAGACCAGACUCUGAAACCUGGGAAAGGUGUAAAUCAUACUCUCUCAUGAAAGGAGGCCACCUAAGGGUGCCCAGGCUCCCAGGAACCACACCCCUCUGAAUGGGGCUGUAAAGUUCUUGAUGUAACAGAUGGAACACAGUCAAAACCCUCUUCAGAAACUUCCACAUUUUUACCAGUUCCAUAUCAGAGUUCAAUCACAGGUCAUUUCAAACAACCCAGGAAAGACAUAAAUUAGGCAUAAACUGUUGUUCAAGAUAGAUCAUGUACAAUAGAAAUAAUGAUUAGAACUUUAACUCGACAGUAUUUAGUUCAACAAAAGCCAAGAUAAAGGAAGUUCUUUUAUGUUCAACCCACAACUCCCAAUCAUUUCUUUAACAAAUAUUAGUUCACUGUGAGCCUAUUAUGUGGCAAAAACCACUUAAGUACAAGGAAUACAGCAGUAAACCAGAAAUGUCCCUGCCCGUUUGCUGCUUAUGUUCCAUUACUAAAAUUGCACAGGAGGAUGGGUGGGGGUGGGUGGUGCUCGUUUAGCUGGAAGCUACUGGAGAUACAAGAGCUGGGCUCCCUGCUGUCUCUCCUCAUUCAUUUCCAACCCACUAAUGGCUGGAAAGUUAGGCAUUCCUUGCACUAGGGGUGGCUGUGUGCUACCGUUUCGGCCAAUCACAUACAGACAGAGCUAGGCUAUUAAUCUGCACUUUUAACAUACCCUGAUCCUGGGACUGGUUUUGUCUGAGUGUGAUAGUCUGAUGCUUCUUAAACAGCUGAGUUCAGGCCGGGCAAAGUGGCUCACCCAGCAUACAUAAUUUUUUAUUCACCCAAGAGUUCUCCCUUUCCACAGUAACAAAUUUUAACACUGGCUCUUUACCUAGAUAUUUCUACUUAAGAGUAAUUGAAUAUACUACUAAAUAACCUACUUCGGACUGUUCUUAUUCUUGAGCAACUCAACCAAAUGAGGAUAUCUCUCAGCAGAUUAAGCAAAUAUGCAGAAGUGAAAAAUACGGAGUAUUCUAAUGGGCAGAGUUAAAGACACCCCUUCUGGCUAAAUGUUUGUUAGCAAAACAGGAAGAGAAGUGUAUCAACCAAUUAAAACAGAACCAGAAGAGAUUGUGGUGUUCUUCCCUACUAUGUGAAAGCAAUUCAACACAAGAGAAUACCAAACCAAAAAAUAAGCUGAAGAAAGUCCAACAAGAUUCUGAUCUUUCCUAUGAGUAUUGCAGUUCCUAAGGCCUCCAGAGGUCACAGGUCACAGUGUGAUCCUAGUUUCUCAAUCCAGUCAGUCAUUCAACAAAUUUUCAUACUCAUAUGCAGAACAGAGUCCUCAUUACUAGGGACACACUGAAAGUGAACUCUUUAUUACUCAGCAAAACUCGGUCAGCAGAACCAGCAAAGGAGGUUUGACACACUCUUUCAGGAUAUCCACGUGAAAAGGUGGAGAUAUAUGGGCUAGUUAUAAGAUAUUAAGAGCAUUAGUAGUUAACUGUAACCGAGACUGUGACUCCUUGUAAGCCUUGAGGGAAGCUUCCAGAGACACACUUCGUGUUAUUCAGCCAGUUUAACAAUUUCAUCACCAGCUUAAGUAAAGAUAUAAAAGAUAUAAAAGAGUCUGAUAUAAUGUACAGACAGCAUUUCUUUGGGAGCACAGGUAAAGGUGCCAAAUAAUAUGAUCAAAUUCCAAAAAGCAUGAUGGGAAGAAUCAGCUAAAAUAAAGCAAAACCACAGCGCAAUAAAUGUUAGACUUUGCAGUGACAUCAGCGCAAGAUGGGAAGACGAGGUUCAAUGGCAGCAUGUGAUUAACGGCUCGGGGGUGUUUAGUGAACAGGAAACUCGUUGAGUCUGACCACCGGAAAAGCGAAUGCAAACUUGGACUAUAUCAGUGCAAGCAACAUGCAACCUAUGACACACACUCCUGCUCUACUCUACACAGGUCACGUUACACCAGCCAGGAGCCCAACUCUGACAGAGACUGAAGGAUUUGUUCUGUAGGCCACCAAGGCAGUAGAAUUUGAAUAAACAAGCAGAAUUAGAUUUCAGUUCUGUAGGCCAAAAAAACUUUCUAGUACUCAAAACCAUUAAAAGGUGGAGACCCCCACCCGUUACUUGCAAUGUUCAGGUAUUACUGGAAGACCACUUAUAUAGAGAUUAUAUAAAAGGAUCCAAACAUCAAAGAAGGGUUAGUUGAGCUACUCAAUGAUUUCCAAACCCUGGUCCUUAGUGAAGUUUUCAUUGACCCAUGCAAAACAAAAGUGUCCGUGUUAGGAUAGCUAUAAAUCCACAAGCGGGGUAGUUUUAACACAGCUCCUCUCUGGAUAGGAAGAACUCUCCUUUAGGCCUGACAGCAUACAUAUUCUUCCCCGUUUCCCCACCUUUUCUUUUUUUUGGUACAUCAAACGUAUUUUGACAAAAUGCAUUGACAAUAAGUAGUAACUGCUGUUGUCAAUUUUCAACACACUUAUGCAGCAACAUUAAAUGCUGACAUAUCUGACAAUCCCUAAUAUUUUCUUGUUUGUUUGUUUGUUUGUUUGUUUUCAUUUUACAGGCAGAUGAAAACAAAAGGUAUAGGAACAACAUGACGAGACAAUUUUUAAGGUCCUUUCUGGUCCACAGAUGCUAUGACAACUAGACUCGACUUGCUGCAUAUUUUCUCCCUUCCCACCACCCAACUUGGCUAUAUAGUACUGGGGUGGGAAAACGAACCAAGGAAUUGGGUUUCACUAAAUAUGAAAUCUCUCAAGAAGCAGAACCUCAACAGUGAGUCAAGAUCUGGCUCCCUUCUACAACUGCUAUUCUUUGGAAGCAAAGUUUAUGAAUUAAGUUCAGAAAGGAUCAAAAUAAUCUAUAUCUAAAGUUGGGAGGCUUUUAAAUUCCUAUCACAUUGUUACCACUCUUUUAAAAGGCGUCACAGCUAAAUGCAAUUGGAACAGAAAAAGCAAUUUCUGAAUCAUCGAUUUCAAGGUAAACCAAGUAGCUAUGAUCCUCAUGCAAAGCAUUCACAUAUAAACUUACUAUAGGUCAAGGCAAAGAAAUGACAUAAUCAUGAAAAAUGUAAACUAUCCCAGUCAGACAGGCAUUUUCAUUACUCUAAUACAUUCGUUUUACACGUUAAAGAAACCCCACAUUUUGGUGCUGUAAGGGAUCAUGAAAAUACUUUCAUCCAAAUUCAUUCGUGACAGGUGGUAGAGGCAGGAAGCUCAAGGUUCCUGUCUGUGCCUAAAGCUUUUUCUACUCUCAUCCUGCAAGUGAAUUAGGCACAUUAACAGAAGUAGAAAACCUAGAACACGGUUCAGUAUUCUCUAGGACUGUACUUUGUAUUUCGUUGAAGUUCAAUACAGAAAAAAAAAAAAA